Molecule: long non-coding RNA, 721 nt
Organism: Micropterus dolomieu (smallmouth bass)
Lineage: Eukaryota; Metazoa; Chordata; Actinopteri; Centrarchiformes; Centrarchidae
Exons: 4
Source: RefSeq, a predicted model, not a curated record
GAACGUAAUAGAAGCACAAAAAUUACAAAUUAACAACAAGUCAAUUAGUGGUGCAGGCUACAUGCUCCGCUGCUGAAACGUUUCUGAGACGCUUCCGGUGGACGUUGACGCUGGGCUAAGGAUGGAACAAAACCGUGGCACAGCCGUAAUGCGCCGGAGUCAGUGGACUUUUGGAGUGAGUGCAUCUGAAGCCCCCACCGGAGAAUCAACUGUGCCUCCCUCCACCCUUCCAGCACAACUUGUCCACUGGCCAUCAUCAACACCAGUUGCUAUCCAUAGGAUCCAUGGACAGGAAAAUGUAAAAUGAAGUAAAUCUAUCAGCUCUCCCACUUAAGAUUGGUGUGAUACUGAAGGCCAACAAAGAACAACUAUCCUUGGUGUUGGAGGCAGACAGAGCUGAACUGGAAACCAUGGCAACACAGUGUUUGUCUCUCUAAUCCCUUGGCCCUGCCAGAGAGUAGACAAAUACCUGCGCAAGCCCCAGCCUAUUCAACACCUGCAUUAAAAAAAACCUUCCCAAUCUGCACAAUAUCAAAAUACAUCAGGGAGUAACUGUUUUGAUGGACUAUUCCUACAGUAUCUUCGUGUCACACACCACCACAGACAAACAGGUGUUGUUUCCAUCCUGUCUGUUUAAUUCUUCUUGUAAAGCAUUUACAGUGUGGAGAGACCAGAUUUCUUUCUCUCAAAUCAAAUGUACUAAGAUAGCACUUGUGUUGGU